ACGAACGCUGGCGGCGUGCCUAAUACAUGCAAGUCGAACGCUUCUUUCCUCCCGAGUGCUUGCACUCAAUUGGAAAGAGGAGUGGCGGACGGGUGAGUAACACGUGGGUAACCUACCCAUCAGAGGGGGAUAACACUUGGAAACAGGUGCUAAUACCGCAUAACAGUUUAUGCCGCAUGGCAUAAGAGUGAAAGGCGCUUUCGGGUGUCGUUGAUGGAUGGACCCGCGGUGCAUUAGCUAGUUGGUGAGGUAACGGCUCACCAAGGCCACGAUGCAUAGCCGACCUGAGAGGGUGAUCGGCCACACUGGGACUGAGACACGGCCCAGACUCCUACGGGAGGCAGCAGUAGGGAAUCUUCGGCAAUGGACGAAAGUCUGACCGAGCAACGCCGCGUGAGUGAAGAAGGUUUUCGGAUCGUAAAACUCUGUUGUUAGAGAAGAACAAGGACGUUAGUAACUGAACGUCCCCUGACGGUAUCUAACCAGAAAACCACGGCUAACUACGU
RNAcentral lists this ribosomal RNA (506 nucleotides) under uncultured bacterium. Its description in RNAcentral is "partial 16S ribosomal RNA". It matches the Rfam family "Bacterial small subunit ribosomal RNA", at positions 29 to 506 of the family's 1533-position model. The record is from RNAcentral.